GGAUCCAGACUUUGAUUCUGGCUCAGGAUGAACGCUAGCUACAGGCUUAACACAUGCAAGUCGAGGGGAAACGACAUCGAAAGCUUGCUUUUGAUGGGCGUCGACCGGCGCACGGGUGAGUAACGCGUAUCCAACCUGCCCACCACUUGGGGAUAACCUUGCGAAAGUAAGACUAAUACCCAAUGAUAUCUCUAGAAGACAUCUGAAAGAGAUUAAAGAUUUAUCGGUGAUGGAUGGGGAUGCGUCUGAUUAGCUUGUUGGCGGGGUAACGGCCCACCAAGGUAACGAUCAGUAGGGGUUCUGAGAGGAAGGUCCCCCACAUUGGAACUGAGACACGGUCCAAACUCCUACGGGAGGCAGCAGUGAGGAAUAUUGGUCAAUGGGCGAGAGCCUGAACCAGCCAAGUAGCGUGCAGGAUGACGGCCCUAUGGGUUGUAAACUGCUUUUAUAAGGGAAUAAAGUGAGUCUCGUGAGACUUUUUGCAUGUACCUUAUGAAUAAGGACCGGCUAAUUCCGUGCCAGCAGCCGCGGUAAUACGGAAGGUCCGGGCGUUAUCCGGAUUUAUUGGGUUUAAAGGGAGCGUAGGCCGGAGAUUAAGCGUGUUGUGAAAUGUAGACGCUCAACGUCUGCACUGCAGCGCGAACUGGUUUCCUUGAGUACGCACAAAGUGGGCGGAAUUCGUGGUGUAGCGGUGAAAUGCUUAGAUAUCACGAAGAACUCCGAUUGCGAAGGCAGCUCACUGGAGCGCAACUGACGCUGAAGCUCGAAAGUGCGGGUAUCGAACAGGAUUAGAUACCCUGGUAGUCCGCACGGUAAACGAUGGAUGCCCGCUGUUGGUCUGAAUAGGUCAGCGGCCAAGCGAAAGCAUUAAGCAUCCCACCUGGGGAGUACGCCGGCAACGGUGCAACUCAAAUGAAUUGACG
RNAcentral lists this ribosomal RNA (923 nucleotides) under uncultured Bacteroidota bacterium. Its description in RNAcentral is "bacterial SSU rRNA". It matches the Rfam family "Bacterial small subunit ribosomal RNA", at positions 1 to 915 of the family's 1533-position model. The record is from RNAcentral. Lineage: Bacteria; Pseudomonadati; Bacteroidota.